GCCACCCCUUUCCUCUCGCACCCCCAUGCCCUCUCACCCGAGCGCCGCCACUCGCUGUCGUCACCGCGUCGUCGCCGUUGCCAUGGCCACGACCGAUCCCUGGCCGCACUGACUAGUCCAGGAGGACCGCCACCGUCGACUUCGUCCAUCCAGAGCAUCAAAUCGAGUGGAGCCGUCCCGUGCGCUCGCCAUCGACCUCCUAUUCACCGCGUACAUCACCGGCCACCGUCGACGAUUGCCUCGCCUCCAGUCCACCUCCGGCCUUCCCGUCGCUUCCGUUGGAACCAUUGUGAGCUCCUCUUCCAAAACCCCCGCUCCCCCUGCUCUCCCCCUCGAUCCGUCGCCUUUUAGCCGCCCGCACUUCGGCCGCCGUGGCCGGAGCUCAAGCUCCCGUGCGUGACCGCGCUGCUGCUGCUCUAGAACGUUGCUGCAUGUCGCCCCCUGCGCGCGCCCGGCCGCCGUGACCGCACCCGGCCGCCCAUGGCCGCGCCCCUGUGCCUGCAGCCGUCUGCCGCGCUGCACGCGGCUCCUCUUACCGCUGCUCCUGCUCCGUGCGGCUGCUUGCUGCUGCUCUUUUGUUGUUGCCCCGCUGCUCACCCUGUUGGUGCUCUGCUCCCUGCCGCAAGGACCUGCCUGUGCCGCUCGCCUUGGCCACCUCGACCGUGCCUUGCGCCCUCCCGCGGAUGCCCCGCGUGCACGCCAUGCCCACAACUCGCGCGCCUCUCGUGUGGCUGCUCCUGGAUGCCUCGUGUGCUUCAGGUCGUGGCUGCGCAUGCCCAGCCGUAAGGCACGGCUAGACUAAUGGCCGGUCCAUUUAAUUAGUAGUAGGUUAGAUUAGGGGCUAAACUAUCAUAUGCCAAGUGGGCCCUUGUACUUAAUUAGUUUAGUUAAUUGGGUAGGCCUAUUUCUAUUAUUAGGUGUAGUCUAUGACAUGUGGGCCAAACUCCCUGUUGACUGGUCACCCUGGACUAGGUCAACCCAACAAUUGGACCCCACUUGUAAGCCACUGAAACUAAGCUACUGCUGUGUGCACCUAGCCAAUUCCUUUUUAAAUUCGAAUUAAUAAUAUUCAAAAAAAUAAUAAAACUUUAGAAAUUCACAGAAAAUAAUCCGUAACUCGGAUGAAAUUACUUUGUACAUGAAAGUUGCUCAGAACGACGAGACGAAUCCGAAUACGUAGCCCGUUCGUCCGCCACACAUCCCCAGCAUAGCAAACACGCAACUUUCCCCCUCCGGCUCGUUUGUCCGAAAAUGCCAAACACCGGGAAUACUUUCCCGGAUGUUUUCCCCCUUUGCCGGUAUCACCUAGUACUGCGUUAGCUCACCCCUGGCACCGCGUAUUGCCUUGUUAUAUUUUGUGAUGCUUUGUUUGCUCCGUAUUUACUGUUUCUUCCCCCCUCUUCUUCUCCGGUAGACCCCGAGACCGGCGUUGAUGCGAUUGAGUACGACUACGUCACCGACGACCCCUCCUUCUCGGCUGAGCUUCCAGGCAAGCCCCCCCCUUGAUCACCAGAUAUCGCCUAUUCUUCUCUAUACUGCUUGCAUUAGAGUAGUGUAGCAAGUUACUGCUUUCGGUUAAUCCUAUUCUGCUGCAUAGCCUGUCAUUGUUGCUACAGUUGUUACCCUUACCUGCUAUCCUACUGCUUAGUAUAGGAUGCUAGUGUUCCAUCAGUGGCCCUACACUCUUAUCCGUCUGCCAUGCUAUACUACUGGGCCGUGAUCACUUCGGGAGGUGAUCACGGGUAUAUAUACUUUAUAUACAUGACACAUGUGGUGACUAAAGUCGGGUCGGCUCGUUGAGUACCCGCAAGUGAUUCUGAUGAGGGGGCUGAAAGGACAGGUGGCUCCAUCCCGGUAAAGGUGGGCCUGGGUUCCUGACGGCCCCCGACUGUUACUUUAUGGCGGAGCGACAGGGCAGGUUGAGACCACCUAGGAGAGAGGUGGGCCUGGCCCUGGUCGGCGUUCGCGGAUACUUAACACGCUUAACGAGAUCUUGGUAUUUGAUCUGAGUCUGGCCAUUUGGUCUAUACGCACUAACCAUCUACAAGGGAGUAGUUAUGGGUAUCCUGGCGCCGUGGUAUCAGCCGAAGCCUUCGUGACGUCAGCGACUGAGUGGCGCGCGCCGGAUUGGACUGGAACGCCACUAGGCUAGGUCUGCUUCCGACCGCGUACACAACGUGCAGGUGUGCAUAGGGCGAUGGGCCCAGACCCCUGCGCGCAUAGGGUUAGACCGACGUGCUGACCUCUCUGUUGUGCUUAGGUGGGGCUACGACGCGUUGAUCUUACGAGGCUGGGCAUGACCCAGAAAAGUGUGUCCGGCCAAAUGGGAUCGAGCGUGUUGGGUUAUGUGGUGCACCCCUGCAGGGAAGUUUAUCUAUUCGAAUAGCCGUGUCCCUCGGUAAAAGGACGACCCAGAGUUGUACCUUGACCUUAUGACAACUAGAACUGGAUACUUAAUAAAACACACCCUUCCAAGUGCCAGAUAUAACCCGGUGAUCGCUCUCUAACAGGGCGACGAGGAGGGGGUCGCCGGGUAGGAUUAUGCUAUGCGAUGCUACUUGGUGAACUUACCAUCUACUCUCUUCUACAUGCUGCAAGAUGGAGGUGGCCAGAAGCGUAGUCUUCGACAGGAUUAGCUAUCCCCCUCUUAUUCUGGCAUUCUGCAGUUCAGUCCACUGAUAUGGCCCUUUACACAUAUACCCAUGCAUAUGUAGUGUAGCUCCUUGCUUGCGAGUACUUUGGAUGAGUACUCACGGUUGCUUUUCUCCCUCUUUUCCCCUUUCUAUACCUGGUUGUCGCAACCAGAUGCUGGAGUCCAGGAGCUAGAGAUCCCGAGGAUGAUUCUACAUGGAGUUCGGCUUUGAGGAGUAGUUAGGAGGUCCCAGGCAGGAGGCCUUGCCUUUUCGAUCGUUGCUACUUUUAUGCUAGCCUUCUUAAGGCAAACUUGUUUAACUUAUGUCUGUACUCAGAUAUUGUUGCUUCCGCUGACUCGUCUGUGAUCGAGCAAUUGUAUUCGAGCCCUCGAGGCCCCUGGCUUGUAUUAUGAUUCUUGUAUGACUUAUUUAUGUUGUAGAGUUGUGUUGUGAUAUCUUCCCGUGAGUCCCUGAUCUUGAUCGUACACAUUGCAUGCAUGAUUAGUGUACGGUCGAAUCGGGGGCGUCACAAGUUGAAAAACAUAAAUAAGUACGGCCUACUUUUAUGCUAGUCCCCUUUCCAACUCCUUGGCCGAAGUCGAGUCUAGUCAUUGAAAAACAUUUACUAACAUGGCUGUGUGGCUUACGAGCCCACGUCGCCAUUGGGUGGUACUAGGAUCUUUUACUCCUUGUCUAUACUCUGGGACUCUGAUCUCUCUUCUAUUCGGAUUAAACGAAUUUUGCUAAUUCUAACAUUAGGAUCUCGUUAUCACUUUCACCCGGAGAGCCCCUUAUUACUGAUGAUCGUCUGCUGCACGUGAGGACCCUGAAGACACUCUCCGUUGUUAACCCGAGAACUUGUGUUCAUCGCUUUUGCAAUUCCCUUCCAUCGAUAAACUCCUAUGGAUAACCACGUAUACUCGCCAUUCAUACAAUGUUUCCCAGUUGAUCUUGUUAUUACAAGAUACCCUGAAAUCCUCUCUAUUGUUCCGAGAAUAUUUUGUGCCUACUAUCUUGUAGUUCUUGCCACCUGAAUAUCCCUACGGACAAUUUCUCGCACUUAUAGAGUAUCCGCUCAUCCCCAGAUGAUUCGUGUGUCUCACAAAAUUCUUCGGAAUACUUUUCGAUCUUUCGAAAAUCCUCUACAGCCUGUUAUUCUUGAAAUUCUUGCCUGCUUGCAUUAUGGUUAAUUCCAUAUGACUAGUAGUCCUCGAUAACAGGUUAUCCUUUUUUAAAAAUUAUCUUUCUGACUCAGACGUCAUUCCGGACAUGAGUUGGUUCUCGGCAAUUCAAACCUUUAUUGAUUGUCCAACUAAGUGUUUUCAGCUUAUCCAUCCUUGAUCAGAGCGUCUGCUUCUGAUCCUUCGUUUUGGAAACCAUAAUUUCUUUCUAUUUAAGCAUCAGACUAAUCAAGUGAUUCUUGAAUCUGAUGCCUCUGCAUUCUUUCUUCCUCCGAGUGAGUAUCGAUACUCACAUCAGCUCCGUUGUGGAUCGCCCGAUCCAUUGUUGGAUUUUUAUCCGACAGCGUCCUUCAUAUUCAAUCACCUUGUGAGUUCUUCCGCUGAUACAUAAUGCCUUUGGUAAAUUGUAUCCUCUGCUUGGCCAACCAUGCUAUGCUUUCGAGCUUGUGUAUUUACUUUUGAAACUUGUGAUAUAUGUUACUAAGAUGCCCGAUGGGUUGAACCUAUGCCUUCCCCUAAUCCGUGAGAACCCAAAAGUUUUCACAAGUCAUACUCUUCCGGUGUUCUACCAGAUAAAAUUCCAACACUACAGUUUUAUCAAAGCGAGAGGUGAAUGAAAUGAUAUGCAUUAAAGAAGUGGGAGUCGACCUUGAACUUUAUGUUCAUGCCCAUGAAAAUGAUGUAGACCAUCUCGAAAGCUUCUUGCAAAAUGAUUAUCCAGCUGUAUGAUUCUUUCAGUAUUCUUGAAAUUGAUUCCUUACAGUUAUGGUUCCGACCAUGCUGUCCUGAUCCAAUAUAUCUGAUGGGAAUUCAUUCCAGUGCCUUGUCUAUUUUUGGCAAGGUUGAAGUAUCUACUGUCAUAGGUCAAUGACCCGGUACUACUUCUAUCAUGUUCAACCUUCGAGUAUUACCCCCUGGUAUCUCGAAGAUGUCUUGCCAUUGCACCACAUCUUACUAACUUUGUUGAAGUAAUGUCUUUCCUUGUCGUAAUCACUCUACGGGUUCUAGGUUGUUAUCAACCGAGGACACCGACUAGUGAAAUUAUUCCGCACUACAAAUCAAAUACCCCUAGUAUUUUUACGAGGAAAUUCUGAACUCAAUCUGGUCAUUCCUAGACUAUCGGCUGCAUCCUGGUCUUGCUAUCUUUGACUGUGCUACCUCAUCUUUCUCUGGUGCACGGAUUCUUCAGUGUGUGAGCACGACUUACGUCGAGCUUUCAACAUCAUGUUGCUUGUCUUGAAAGGCAACCUUGGUUCCGAGCUUGCAUCUUAUAUUUUGAUCCUAUAACUUGCCACUACGUCAUUCCCUUGCUUGUUGCCGUUGUUGUUUGAUUGCAUCCUCUCAAACCUCCCGGCAAAUGUGUCGGAUCACCUUCAACACUUUGACUUCUAUCGAGAUGUCAACUGUGUUCAUGAUGAGAAAUACCAUCCUUGCCCCUCGAUGAAUUGUGUUAUCAUCGACAACAUUCUUGCCUCCCCCCAACACAAACGUGUUCAUAUUUUGUGUUGUAUCUUGAUUUCCCUGCUAUCUAGCUUAUGAUAUGUUCUACCUUGGAGUAUUACCAUCUUUUAUGUCAAGAAUGUCGUGAGGAUUACUCCACCUCUUAAGAAUUCUUGGUACAGUGAUACUUCUCACCAUCACCAUUCUUUCUUGGUCCCCGUGUUGUUUCUAAACGAAAUACUGACAAAUGGUCUGUGAUGUGUAAAUUCUAAACUUCUAGCAACCCUAUGGCUUUGAAGUUAUUGGUCUAUAGUUUCAUUCUACAUCUAUGGCUUAAUGAAUCAUCAUUCGAACAUUGAUCAUGCUACCUAGCCCAUAUUUCGGGUGCACAUUUCAACCAAUGUUUGACUGUGUAUGUUUUCCUCGAGCAUACAUCAUCAUAUCAUUUGAUCUGACUAAUUUUAUCUCCUUGUUCACAUAAUUGUGGAAACCCAUCUUUUUGAAGUCUUGAUGAAUUGUUGCUGAGUUCACCAGCUACCUCCUUAUCCCUUCAUUGGUUUAAUGAUGAGCUUUUGUUUCGGAACUCGCUUCCGUAGUAAAUUUCUCGAGAAUCUUACAAUGUCGUCUCGUCAAUUUGUUUUGCACCUUUUCUUCUCAGGCAUCCUGAGUCUGAGGUAUCCAAACACCGAUCAUAUCUGAAUCUCGGUCAUAUAUGAUGGUUGGAACUUUUUUCCAAGAGUUAUAACACUGGUCUUUUAUGACCCGGUAAGGUGAUGAUUCCCAGCACACCUGGCGGGAUGACCUGUUGUUAUAGUUUCCUUAUUAGCAAGGUUAUCCAUUCUUCCAUGAGAAAAUUGUAAGACUUAUUCUACAAGUUUUUCCCUAUGGAUCCUUCUUGUAUCCAAAUUCUCAUCUUUGCUUGAAGACCAUGUCAAUGCUAUCUCGAAACAUGUCUGUGGUACUCCGAUUUUCAAUAAGAGCAUUUGAAGAACAAUGCUAAAAAAAUUUUGUCCAAUAUCCAAACACCGUUGUAUGGGUGAUGUCAUGAAAUUUCUCUCCCCUUACCUAAAUGGUUUUCUACUUCUAUCCAAUCAUGGAUAUCAUGCUCUGCUUGUCCUUGGGAAGGAUAUACCCCUGAAAUAUGUGUUUAAACACAUUUUCCUUUCCAUUGUUUUGUUUAAUAUUUCUUGUGAUCUAUAUGAUCUAAGUAGUAAUAAUUUACUGCUUAUGUAAACACCUCGAUGUACAACUCUAUCAGUAAGACCGUGUUACUAUUGUUGAUGACAUUUCGGUAUCCACCGAUGGACGAGAACUUUGCCUAUUGGUCCGCCUUGUUUCAACGAGCAGGAAAAUGGUUCUCUUCGUCCCUCGCCCUUGGUACCGACGUUGUUGCCUACGUAACUGACAUGCUACUCUCUGACAUGCCUUGCCAUCAUGACCGUGCAAGAUGUCACCGCUCCUAUUUUUAACCCACAUGGUGGGCCCAUAACCCACAGUUCCACAGGAUCGAGACCUGACUCUCCUGUACACCCUGUUGUCAAAGUUAUUCCUCGCGCUUGACUUUGUAUGUAAUUGACGGGCCACCUGCCUACUAUUCUGGUAUUAGACGCAAUACUGAUUCUCGUUGCUCGGGACCCCUUUCACACUUGGAUUCAGGCAACGGACGAUUGCCUAUCCAUUUGAAACUUCUCAUGGUACCUUCUUACUUUGCUCUCGAUAUCUUCUUAAGUUUCAAAUCGAGAGAUACUUAUGCUUCUUCCCUGAGUUAACCGUCUGAUGCUCGAUCUUGUUAGAAUCCAUCCAUAUGGAGUUUUCCCUUCUUACCCUUUCGUAAGUACGGUGAAGAUCCUGAAGGAAGGACGACAACUUCAUCAUGAUGACCUGAAGUAGAGAAAUGAAGACAUCAGCGCAAUGGAUCGACCACUUCGAGAAGACCAACCAAGACCGAGAAGACUCAAUAGAAUUUUGUAACCAGAACUUUCCCCCUUACUCCACCUCUUAAAUCUCGGGACGAGAUUGCUUGUAGUGGAGGAGAUUUGUGACGCCCGGAUAAUUAGGCUACAGUAAUCCCCUGGUAAUGAGUGCCAAGUCAUCACAAUUAGUUUGCCAAACAUCACUUGGUUCCAAAUCAAACUCAAAUUCAAAUUGCAUGUCAAAUUGUUUUCUUCAAAAUUUAAAAGACAAAAUGUUCGUUGAGUUGCAAAUAUUCUCUAAGUAAUUAACAUAUACUAACCAACAUUUUAUAAGGUAUUUAAAUGCCCAAAAAUAACUAAAACAGGGUCAAAACAGUAACUUAAAAUGCUUUUCCAAACUAUAAAAUUCCAAAACAUUUAAGUAACUCCCAAACCUUUUUGUGGCAGAGUCUAAAUUAGCAACACUAUUUACGGACCAAGUUUCACAUUUUAUAAAACUAGUUUGCUAUUAAAAUUAAAGUCAAAACAGAAAGAAUAAAUGUUACAAAACUAUAAGAAUAGUAAAAGAGCUAAAGGGCACUAUGCACUUGAGCCCACUAGCUAUAGUACAGGCCCAACCCACCAUAGCGGUCAUCUCCUUCCCCUGUUCACCAGAGGUGCCGUGGACGCAGCACGCACGUCGCCGCCGCCGAUGCACACACGUCGUUGAUCCCGCGGUUCCAUAGAUGGGAUAAGACCACCCUGGCCCCUUCUCGAACCCUAGGCCACCCCUUUCCUCUCGCACCCCCAUGCCCUCUCACCCGAGCGCCGCCGCUCGCUGUCGUCGCCGUUGCCAUGGCCACGACCGCUCCCUGGCCGCACCGACUAGUCCAGGAGGACCGCCACCGUCGACUUCGUCCAUCCAGAGCAUCAAAUCGAGCGGAGCCGUCCCGUGCGCUCGCCAUCGACCUCCUAUUCACCGCGUACAUCACCGGCCG
Molecule: long non-coding RNA, 8144 nt
Filed under: Triticum aestivum (bread wheat)
Lineage: Eukaryota; Viridiplantae; Streptophyta; Magnoliopsida; Poales; Poaceae
Description: long non-coding RNA (TAES_LNC023816)
Source: RNAcentral